UACGUAGGGGGCGAGCGUUGUCCGGAUUCAUUGGGCGUAAAGAGCUCGUAGGCGGCUUGGCAAGUCGGAUGUGAAAACUCCAGGCUCAACCUGGAGCCGCCAUUCGAUACUGCUAUGGCUAGAGUCCGGUAGGGGAGUGUGGAAUUCCCGGUGUAGCGGUGAAAUGCGCAGAUAUCGGGAGGAACACCGAUGGCGAAGGCAGCACUCUGGGGACGUGACUGACGCUGAGACGCGAAAAGCGUGGGGGAGCAAACAGG
This 257-nucleotide ribosomal RNA is filed under the name uncultured bacterium. RNAcentral's name for it is "partial 16S ribosomal RNA". It matches the Rfam family "Bacterial small subunit ribosomal RNA", at positions 524 to 776 of the family's 1533-position model. The record is from RNAcentral.